Molecule: ribosomal RNA, 263 nt
Filed under: uncultured bacterium
Lineage: Bacteria
Description: partial 16S ribosomal RNA
Rfam family: Bacterial small subunit ribosomal RNA
Source: RNAcentral
GUCCACGCCGUAAACGAUGGGUGCUAGGUGUGGGCGGUGUCGACUCCGUCCGUGCCGAAGCUAACGCAUUAAGCACCCCGCCUGGGGAGUACGGCCGCAAGGCUAAAACUCAAAGGAAUUGACGGGGGCCCGCACAAGCAGCGGAGCAUGUGGUUCAAUUCGACGCAACGCGAAGAACCUUACCAGGGCUUGACAUGCACUGGAAUGUCGUAGAAAUACGGCAGCCCUUCGGGGCCAGUGCACAGGUGGUGCAUGGCUGUCGU